Molecule: ribosomal RNA, 491 nt
Filed under: uncultured bacterium
Lineage: Bacteria
Description: partial 16S ribosomal RNA
Rfam family: Bacterial small subunit ribosomal RNA
Source: RNAcentral
GUGAACGCUGGCGGUAGGCCUAACACAUGCCAGUCGAACGGCAGCACAGUAAGAGCUUGCUCUUACGGGUGGCGAGUGGCGGACGGGUGAGGAAUACAUCGGAAUCUACUUUUUCGUGGGGGAUAACGUAGGGAAACUUACGCUAAUACCGCAUACGACCUACGGGUGAAAGCAGGGGGUCUUCGGACCUUGCGCGAUUGAAUGAGCCGAUGUCGGAUUAGCUAGUUGGCGGGGUAAAGGCCCACCAAGGCGACGAUCCGUAGCUGGUCUGAGAGGAUGAUCAGCCACACUGGAACUGAGACACGGUCCAGACUCCUACGGGAGGCAGCAGUGGGGAAUAUUGGACAAUGGGCGCAAGCCUGAUCCAGCCAUACCGCGUGGGUGAAGAAGGCCUUCGGGUUGUAAAGCCCUUUUGUUGGGAAAGAAAAGCAGCAGGUUAAUACCCCGCUGUUCUGACGGUACCCAAAGAAUAAGCACCGGCUAACUUCGUG